RNAcentral lists this ribosomal RNA (445 nucleotides) under uncultured bacterium. RNAcentral describes it as "bacterial SSU rRNA". It matches the Rfam family "Bacterial small subunit ribosomal RNA", at positions 330 to 792 of the family's 1533-position model. The record is from RNAcentral.
CCCAGACUCCUACGGGAGGCAGCAGUGGGGAAUAUUGCACAAUGGGGGGAACCCUGAUGCAGCGACGCCGUGUGGGUGAAGGAGCACCUCGGUGCGUAAAGCCCUAUCGGCAGGGAAGAAACAGACGGUACCUGACUAAGAAGCCCCGGCUAACUACGUGCCAGCAGCCGCGGUAAUACGUAGGGGGCAAGGGUUAUCCGGAUUUACUGGGUGUAAAGGGAGCGUAGACGGAAAGGCAAGUCAGAAGUGAAAACCCGAGGCUCAACCAUGGGACUGCUUUUGAAACUGUCAAACUAGAGUACGGGAGAGGUAAGAGGAAUUCCUAGUGUAGCGGUGAAAUGCGUAGAUAUUAGGAGGAACACCAGUGGCGAAGGCGUCUUACUGGACCGAAACUGACGUUGAGGCUCGAAAGCGUGGGGAGCAAACAGGAUUAGAUACCCCUGUA